RNAcentral lists this ribosomal RNA (274 nucleotides) under uncultured bacterium. Its description in RNAcentral is "partial 16S ribosomal RNA". It matches the Rfam family "Bacterial small subunit ribosomal RNA", at positions 523 to 796 of the family's 1533-position model. The record is from RNAcentral.
AUACGGAGGGUCCAAGCGUUAAUCGGAAUUACUGGGCGUAAAGGGUUCGUAGGCGGUUAUUUAAGUCAGAUGUGAAAGCCCCGGGCUCAACCUGGGAAUUGCAUCUGAUACUGGGUAACUAGAGUUUAAGAGAGGAGUGUGGAAUUUCCGGUGUAGCGGUGAAAUGCAUAGAGAUCUGAAGGAACAUCAGUGGCGAAGGCGGCACUCUGGCUUAAAACUGACGCUGAGGAACGAAAGCGUGGGUAGCAAACAGGAUUAGAUACCCUAGUAGUCC